Molecule: long non-coding RNA, 1020 nt
Filed under: Triticum aestivum (bread wheat)
Lineage: Eukaryota; Viridiplantae; Streptophyta; Magnoliopsida; Poales; Poaceae
Description: long non-coding RNA (TAES_LNC026264)
Source: RNAcentral
CCAAAAUGUAUAUUGAGUGUAAUUUUCAGAUGACAAACAGUAUAAGCACAGAUUCAGAAUAGAAAGAUGUCUAAACUAAGCCUAAUGACCACACCAACUCAACAAAUCUAUUGGGAAAUCAGAGAAGUUGUUCAAGAAUAAAAGCAAGACCAGGAUAAAAUAGUACCUAAGGUUGUCACACUUACACCAGCAAUUACUUCUGCUCACUGUCAUAGAAUUCAUCUCACCUUUUUUAGCAACGGAAGAAAUUUUGUUAUCUCCCUGUAAAAAAAUUUUAGUUACAAAUUGCAGGCAAACAAAUUGCACCGCGUGGAAACAUACUUAUUGGCAUAAAACAUAAUAAAAUAGGACAAAAUACUAUUUACACAUAUUGUUUGUGUCAUCCUACCAUAUGUUUAAAGUUUAUAGAAAUUGGCUGCGAGCAACAAUAGCCAAACAACAAUAUGAAAAUAAUUAUUCCUAUGCAAGCCUACAGAUAUAUUUUAGUGGCUCAUGCAAAGUUAACUUGGUUGUACAGAGAAUUACAUAGUAGAGACUAUAUAUGCCGAAGAACCAUGAGUAUGGAGAUGUACUAAAUUUUCGGCUAUGUAUUUGAAGGGAAAGAAGUAGAGAUAGCACGGUAGAAGAGGAAGAGGUAGCUCCAAUAAAUCUACUGGGAAGCCAUGCAAAAAUAAUAAUCAUACUGUUCUAAGCUCACAAACUGGCUUAGAAGAUUGUAUAAUUAGAACAACCAAUAGGAUUUUACCUGGUUGAAGCACACAACAAAAGAAUCCAUUCAUUUUCUUCAAGAAAUUCAUCGAACGUUUGGUGCGCGACAACAAUGGAACCAUAACUGGAUAUGUUGUAAAAGUACCCUAGUAACCAAAUUUCUAAUCUGCACGACAUGUAACAUGAUGAUUAUAUAACAAAGCAACAUUUUCCUAUUUUGUAGAAGACAAAUCACAAAAGUGGAUUGGUAGGCUUUGGUGCUGGAGUUGCGGUUACCAAUUCGCAAGUUCUCUCUCCUCUAUCCCUUGCUUG